RNAcentral lists this ribosomal RNA (253 nucleotides) under uncultured bacterium. Its description in RNAcentral is "partial 16S ribosomal RNA". It matches the Rfam family "Bacterial small subunit ribosomal RNA", at positions 524 to 776 of the family's 1533-position model. The record is from RNAcentral.
UAUAGAGGGGGCAAGCGUUGUUCGGAAUUACUGGGCGUAAAGGGCUCGUAGGCGGCCAACUAAGUCAGACGUGAAAUCCCUCGGCUUAACCGGGGAACUGCGUCUGAUACUGGAUGGCUUGAGAUUGGGAGAGGGAUGCGGAAUUCCAGGUGUAGCGGUGAAAUGCGUAGAUAUCUGGAGGAACACCGGUGGCGAAGGCGGCAUCCUGGACCAACACUGACGCUGAGGAGCGAAAGCCAGGGGAGCAAACGGG